CUGAAGCAGAUCGGAUUUCUC
This 21-nucleotide small RNA is filed under the name Arabidopsis thaliana (thale cress). RNAcentral describes it as "ATSL118940". The record is from RNAcentral. Lineage: Eukaryota; Viridiplantae; Streptophyta; Magnoliopsida; Brassicales; Brassicaceae.